AUGGCCCUCGUGGGAAGGUUAGCUCCCGCUCGGCUGAAGUGUCGCUACAGGCACAACAUAGUCCACAAGAGCUAUGCAUGCAUGAAGGACAGGGCGGCAACCGCUGCCCUGUGGGAUCAAGUAGGAAGGACGAUGCUGCUCGGGGCGAUCAUGGAUGCGAACGAGCUUGUCACCGAAGAAGCCGACACUGUCGCUGCUGCAGCACACUUGGGGUUAGGAAAGCAGGUAAAACAACUCCAAUGUUAUGGGUGCAUCAUGGACCUCGACUCAUGGACGUGGGAGUUAUGUUACAGAGGUAUACAUCUUGCCCAGGCGUUGGCUCGGGCGAUGAAAAUUAUCCGCGUGCUUACCGCUGUUGCUGCUCUCCUGUCUACUAGUGCCUCCUACGCACUCCAGGAUUGUCCAAGCAUCUGGAAUGAUGCCAAGCUCCGGACCAACACCACCGGCGCGAUCCGGCUGACGAUGCUGCACACACAGCAUCGGUGCUCGCCCGUGCGGCGGCAGAGGGGCCUCCCUCCGUCCUGGCAUCAGCAUCACUCCACGGCGCUACACCGCGAGCGCCGCCUUCUCUUCCGUCGCCGGCCGCCCCCGCCAAACAUCUCCACGCCAGUGACGAGCACGAGCGCCGCCGGGGUGGAUCACGGGUUCAUGGCGCAAGUCGCCAUCGGGACACCGCCCACGACGCAGACCGUCCUGAUCGACACCGCCGCGUCCUUCUCGUGGGUGCAGUGCGCCCCCUGCGCCCGUAACGGCUGCUACAACCAGGACGGCCCGCUGUUCGACACCCGGACCUCCUCCACGUACGCCGCGGUGCCAUGCUCGACGCAGCCGUGCGUGUCCGUCGACGCAACCAUGGCGCGUACCAACUGCAGCAGCAGCGGGGACAAGACAUGCCUUUACAGGGUAGAGUACACGGACCGGUCGGUGUCCCAAGGGCGCGUGAGCAGGGACACGCUCACCCUCGGCCAAGAGAAGAUCCCGGGGUUCAUGUUUGGCUGCAGCCGGCACCACGAACCCACGUUCGAGAGAUACGCAGGCAUAUUCGGCUUUGCAAAUGACCGCGUGUCUUUCUUCUCCCAGGUCGUGGACAAGUCUCGGCAGUACCGGGCAUUCUCCUACUACCUCCCUUCACCGAGCUCCGUAGGGUACAUACAGGUGGGGUCCUACGACGAGGGCGGGUUGGCCUUCACUCCCAUGUUCAGUAGGAACCUGUACUACUUCCUGGCACUGACAGGGAUGACGGUCGACGGCUCCCCGAUAGACUUGGCAAGCACCAACUUGUCAGCUGGCCAGCCGAGACCGUCAGAGUUCGUCAUGUACCUAGACCUGGGCUCAGCAUUUUCCCUGCUACCAAGCCAUGUGUAUAAGAGGAUUUGCGACGCGGUGGCUCAGGGCAUCAAAGGGUACGACCGCAUCCACAGAGGGGGGCAGAGCUGUUGCUUCGACCCGUCGUUUCUGUCGACGGAGAGAGCGGUGCCCACGGUGCAGAUACAUUUCAGGAAUGGUGUGCGACUCGUGCUGAAUGAAGCCAGGCUCAUGUACGAAACACCCGAUGAGAGGCUCUGCCUUGGUUUCGUGCCCAGCACUAGCCGCUUCUUGCUCGGCAGCAUGCAGUUGCAGAUGGCCUAUGUGGUUCAAGACGUUGAGAAAUCAAUCAUGGGAUUCCCGAGGACCUAA
Molecule: ribosomal RNA, 1677 nt
Filed under: Triticum aestivum (bread wheat)
Lineage: Eukaryota; Viridiplantae; Streptophyta; Magnoliopsida; Poales; Poaceae
Description: partial small subunit ribosomal RNA
Source: RNAcentral